RNAcentral lists this long non-coding RNA (441 nucleotides) under Aquila chrysaetos chrysaetos. Its description in RNAcentral is "lncRNA (ENSACCG00020000444.1)". The record is from RNAcentral. Lineage: Eukaryota; Metazoa; Chordata; Aves; Accipitriformes; Accipitridae.
GGACAGUGAACAGCCUUACAAGUGUUCAGAGAUGUGUUGAUUAUUACUAUCUUGAAUGUUCUUUGCCUGAAGUCUUCAUAUUCCUGUGGAUCUGCAGCUGGAGUGAAACCUGGCCAGGGCCCCUGGCCUGCUGAUCAGCCAUUUCCAAAGAAAAAGAUCCCAAAACAUGAAAGGCUCUGAGAAAAUGUUUGAUCCCAGGCAGUAAACUCGGCAACCUUGUCUCUGACCAGCGCUUUGGAAAAGGGACUCAAAGCUUAUCUGGCAGGUUGGUCUGUCCACAUCAAGGACACAUCCUGUCACUCUGGUGAAGAUUCCCUGUGUUCCUUGCUGCACCAAUCAGUGGUUGAAUCAGCAGAGGGGAUGCCACAUCCUAGUCAGAGCACAGGAGCACAUGCAGCCAUUUGAGCACAAACACCUGGCCUUUUCUUCUCACCAGUCUGU